This 301-nucleotide ribosomal RNA is filed under the name uncultured bacterium. Its description in RNAcentral is "partial 16S ribosomal RNA". It matches the Rfam family "Archaeal small subunit ribosomal RNA", at positions 459 to 760 of the family's 1478-position model. The record is from RNAcentral.
CAGCAGCCACGGGAAUACCAGCACCUCGAGUGGUCAGGAGGUUUAUUGGGCCUAAAGCAUCCGUAGCCGGUUGCAUAAGUUUUCGGUUAAAUCUAUGUGCUUAACGUAUAGGCCGCCGAAAAUACUGUGCAGCUAGGGAGUGGGAGAGGUACACGGUACUCGAUAGGAAGGGGUAAAAUCCUUUGAUCUAUUGAUGACCACCUGUGGCGAAGGCGGUGUACCAGAACACGUUCGACGGUGAGGGAUGAAAGCUGGGGGAACAAACCGGAUUAGAUACCCCGGUAGUCCCUGUCUCUUAUAC